This 253-nucleotide ribosomal RNA is filed under the name uncultured bacterium. RNAcentral's name for it is "partial 16S ribosomal RNA". It matches the Rfam family "Bacterial small subunit ribosomal RNA", at positions 524 to 776 of the family's 1533-position model. The record is from RNAcentral.
UACGUAGGGGGCAAGCGUUGUCCGGAAUCAUUGGGCGUAAAGCGCGUGUAGGCGGCUCGGUAAGUCUGCUGUGAAAGUCCAGGGCUCAACCCUGGGAUGCCGGUGGAUACUGUCGAGCUCGAGUCCGGAAGAGGCGAGUGGAAUUCCUGGUGUAGCGGUGAAAUGCGCAGAUAUCAGGAGGAACACCCGUGGCGAAGGCGGCUCUCUGGGACGGUACUGACGCUGAGACGCGAAAGCGUGGGGAGCAAACAGG